This 443-nucleotide ribosomal RNA is filed under the name uncultured bacterium. Its description in RNAcentral is "partial 16S ribosomal RNA". It matches the Rfam family "Bacterial small subunit ribosomal RNA", at positions 338 to 795 of the family's 1533-position model. The record is from RNAcentral.
CCUACGGGAGGCUGCAGUAGGGAAUCUUCCACAAUGGGCGAAAGCCUGACCCAGCAACGCCGCGUGAAGGAAGAAGGCUUUCGGGUUGUAAACUUCUUUUCUCAGGGACGAAGCAAGUGACGGUACCUGAGGAAUAAGCCACGGCUAACUACGUGCCAGCAGCCGCGGUAAUACGGAGGUGGCAAGCGUUAUCCGGAUUUAAUGGGUUUAAAGGGCGUGUAGGCGGGACUGGAAGUCAGAUGUGAAACCCACGGGCUCAACCUGUGGCCUGCAGUUGAUACUGUAGUUCUUGAGUACUGGAGAGGCAGACGGAAUUCGUGGUGUAGCGGUGAAAUGCGUAGAUAUUAGGAGGAACACCAGUGGCGAAGGCGGUCUGCUGGACAGCAACUGACGCUGAGGCGCGAAAGCGUGGGGAGCAAACAGGAUUAGAUACCCGAGUAGUC